RNAcentral lists this long non-coding RNA (405 nucleotides) under Setaria viridis. RNAcentral's name for it is "long non-coding RNA (SVIR_LNC001549)". The record is from RNAcentral. Lineage: Eukaryota; Viridiplantae; Streptophyta; Magnoliopsida; Poales; Poaceae.
AAACCCAUCUCCAUCGUCCAAUAAGGUUGAAUUCAAUGACUCACACGCAACAGACCAUACUAGGCUAUUGAGCUUACCAUUUCUUCAUGUGGAGGGACAUUUAGCCCAAUAGUCAUCCUCAUGGAAGGAUACAAUUCUUUAAACUUGGGAUCUGAGCCAACUAUAGAGGAAAAGGGUCACCUAUAUCAUAAAAUAUAGGUUAAGGAAGUGGUAAAGGACAAAUAAACCAAACUAUAGAGGAAAAAGGUCACCUAUAUCAUAAAAUAUAGGUUAAGAAAGUGCUAUUUCCCUUCCCCUUCCCCCACAGAUGUAGGCCCCAAUAGAUAAAUCUCACCCCUCUAUCUUUCUCUUUUCAUUUCUCCAUUUCCAUUCUCUCUUAUCUCUCGCUCCUCACCUAUUUCAUUC